UAUUCCGUGACACCACCAAUUUAACAUCAAUAGGGUUCGAUACCUAAAGUAUCCUCCUACAGUCCUACCAAUUAAACAUAAGUAGAGAUCAAAUCAUGACUUAAGGUAUCCUACAGUCCCGUCAGUAAAACAGGACCUGAAGUAUCCUCAUACAGUCUCAUCAAUUAAACAUAAGUAGGGAUUGAACCAGGACCUAAGGUAUCCUCCUACAGUCCCACCAAUUAAACAUAAGUAGGUAUCGUAGCAAGACCUUAAGUAUCCUCAUACAGUCCCAUCAAUAAAACAGAAAUAAGGAUCGAACCAGGACCUAAGGUAUCCUUAUACAGUCCCACUUAUUAAACAUACGUAGGGAUCGAAUCAGGACCUAAGGUAUCAUUUUACAGUCCCACCAAUAAAAGAUAAGUAGGGAUUGAACCAGGACCUUAAGUAUCCUCAUACAGUCCCACUUAUUAAACAUACGUAGGGAUCGAAUCAGUACCUGAGGUAUCCUCCUACAUUCCAACCAAUAAAACAUAAGUAGGUAUUGAAGAAGGACCUAAGGUAUCCUCCUACAGUCCCAUCCAUUUAACAUAAAUAGGGUUCGAUACCUAAAAUAUCCUCCUACCGUCCCACCAAUUGAACAUAAGUAGGGAUCGAAUCAGGACCCAAGGUAUCCUUCUACAGUCUCACCAAUAAAACAUAAGUAGGGAUUGGACCAGGACCUAAAGUAUCUUCAUAUAGUCCCACCAAUAAAACAUAAGUAGGGAUCGAAUCAGGACCUAAGGUAUCAUUCUACAUUCCCACCAAUAAAACAUGAGUAGGGAUUGAACCAGGACCUUACGUAUUUUCAUACAGUCCCAUCAAUUAAACAUAAGUAGGGAUUGAAGCAAGACCUUAAGUAUCCUCAUACAGUCCUAUGAAUAAAACAUAAGUAGGGAUUGAACCAGGACCUAAGGUAUCCUCCUACAGUCCCACCUAUUAAACAUACGUAAGGAUCGAAUCAGGGCUUAAUGUACCCUUUUACAGUCCCACCAAUAAAACAUAAGUAGGUAUUGAACAAGGACCUAAGGUAUCCUCCUACAGUCCCACCCAUUAAACAUAAAUAGAGUUCGAUACCUUAAGCCCUUAAAUAUCCAUCUAUAGUCCCACCAAUUAAACAAAAGUGGGGAUCGAAUCAGGACCUAAGGUAUCCUUCUACAGUCCCACCAAUAAAACAUAAGUAGGCAUUGAACCAGGACCUAGAGUAUCCUCAUAUAGGCCCACCAAUAAAACAUAAGUAGGGAUCGAAUCA
This 1270-nucleotide long non-coding RNA is filed under the name Mytilus galloprovincialis (Mediterranean mussel). The record is from RNAcentral. Lineage: Eukaryota; Metazoa; Mollusca; Bivalvia; Mytilida; Mytilidae.